RNAcentral lists this unclassified non-coding RNA (253 nucleotides) under uncultured delta proteobacterium. RNAcentral's name for it is "contains 16S-23S intergenic spacer region". The record is from RNAcentral. Lineage: Bacteria; Deltaproteobacteria.
UCCGGUUUGUCACCGGCAGUCUCACAUGAGUCCCCAACUUAAUGCUGUCCGAUGUUGUCUAGCCCAGGUAAGGUUCUUCGCGUUGCGUCGAAUUGAACCACAUGCUCCACCGCUUGUGCGGGCCCCCGUCAAUUCCUUUGAGUUUUAACCUUGCGGCCGUAGUCCCCAGGCGGGGCACUUAAUGCGUUAGCUGCGGCACUCAGGGGGUCAAUACCCCGAACACCUAGUGCCCAUCGUUUACAGCGUGGACUAC